UCUCAGCAAUAUUCCAAACACUCUUCACAAGUUCAUAACGACAAAGAAAACGAAAGAAAGGCUUACCUGGAAAAAGGAAAACUCUCACUAUCGGUGUCGCAACCUCGAAUCCCUCCGUGUAACAACCGCGCGCUGCUACUCGUAGUCGAUUAGUUUUUCCGCGUGUUGAUCGAGAUGAAAAUGAAGCUCUGCGCUCGUGCGUUGCUGAUUGUGAUGAAGAACGAAGAUAUGCGUUGCAUCGAAGGAUGAAGGAUGAGGAUUCGUGAUGAAGAUCGAGGUGUCGCGUUCGUGUCAUUGAUGGUGAAUCUCGAUGAAGGUUCAAGAAUUAUUGUGCGCGACGUCGAUGAAAAGUCGAUCGUUGACGAUCCGUCGUGAGGUUGUCACGAUUCGUUUGCAUAUUACUGCUGCGCGUUGAGGAUCAUUACGGUUGUUCUGAUAUGAAGAGUGAUGCCGACCACGAAACUGCUUCCUCCGGCGAAAAUGCGGACAUGUGAGUUUUCGUACCUUAUUGAUAUCCUUCAGCUAUGAGUUCUUCUUCUUCUGCUGCUUCCGAGUUUUCUUUUUCUGUGGUGUUGCUAUUGUCGUUGUGGGGUUUGUUUCGGCGAAUGUUGGGAUGAGAGGCCGAAGGAGUCUUGCCGGUACCAUCGAAGGGUUGUUAGCAGGGUGAGGAGAAGCUAUGGAGGCUGGGGUUGUUGGUUAUGAUGGAGGACUCAGUUAGGUGUGAUAGAGAGUGAAGUCGUUAGGGUGAGUUUUGGGUUGUGAUGGAGAUGGAAGAAGAAAACCCCCCGGCUGAAGAAUCAGUUAUCAGUUAUAUGGAGGUUGUUGAAGUUGUUAGGAAUUAGUUAGAUUCAAUGACAGUUGGCGACAGUUGGAAUUGAUUAGGCGGUUAGGACGAUUGAAGACAGUUAGAAAGUGAUUCUGUUAUGGAGUUAGAAAUUUGUUAUGAAAAUAGUUAGUUGAAGAAGAGUGUGAAAGUCUGUUAUUGGGGUUGGUUAAUCCUUGAAGGGUAUUGAAGCUAGAGGAAGAUUUUUGAAGGUCAAGUGAAGGAGAGAAAACCCAAUUCGGUUCUGUUAUGGGAAGAGGUAGAGUUUCGGUUAGGCGGUUAUUCUAUUAGUGAUGUAAGUUGAAUGUUAUGUAUCUUUUUUUACAUAAGCAUUCUCAUUGCCAGCAUCUCUAGAUGUAGAAGGAACCUCUGAUAUUUCUCUCACAAAUUUCGGCUGCAUAUUUCUCAAUCAAUGCGGAUUCAGUCAUUCUAUCAUUUGGGCUCACUCCCACAGAUGGAUUAUCUUUAUUGAUAGAAGAUAAUGCAUUUCGUUACGAACGACAACGUACACAACCUGCUUCAAUGUCUCAAAGGUGUAUUCCAUAAGCCAUGACAGUUUCUCCAUUGUCCUGUUGUCGUUAAGCUGCGUUGUCGGCGUUGCCUAUUUUGCUGCACCUCAAGAGUUUUGCUCUAUAGCUGCUGCUUAGUUUCAAUGCCGUUUCAGUUGCCGUUUGGAGAUGUUGUGAGUGGAUUCCCAAUGUAAUAAGGAGUUAAUUAUGGUGUUGUAUGGAAUGGCGCAUGCAUGGCAUGACAUGAGCCUGGUUGAAUAACAUAAAGCAUGAGAUUUACCCCGAAGAUAUGAGUCAAGACCACAUGAGAUUUAGCCACGAAAAGUCCUGGAAACAUAGGCUUUAGGAUUUGAAGGCUUCCCUUUUGUGAUUUUCUGUAUUAGAUUGAAAUGGAUAUGUAAAUGAUCAUUAAUGGUUUGGAAAAAGAAUUAAAUGGUUACAUGGAUUUUUUUAGAAAUUAGGAAUUAGUAAAAAUGAAAUAUGGAUUUGGAAAGA
Long non-coding RNA from Lathyrus oleraceus (garden pea), 1827 nucleotides. RefSeq lists it as uncharacterized. The record is from RefSeq and is a predicted model, not a curated record. The transcript has 3 exons. NCBI's taxonomy places the organism in Eukaryota, Viridiplantae, Streptophyta, Magnoliopsida, Fabales, Fabaceae.